Molecule: long non-coding RNA, 671 nt
Filed under: Setaria italica (foxtail millet)
Lineage: Eukaryota; Viridiplantae; Streptophyta; Magnoliopsida; Poales; Poaceae
Description: long non-coding RNA (SITA_LNC000114)
Source: RNAcentral
GUUUGGACAUUCCAUUUUUCAAUCCAGAUAUAGCUAGUGCAAAAUGCAUUCAGUCAAUAUUUUAUUAUAGUUUAUCGAAGGUUGGUUAGCUUGAAUCGAUUAGCAUUUAUAGGUAGGAGUCCUUCGGCUUGUCACCAAGUCAAAUCAUCCAUGCAAGGAGUUUAUGUCGUGUUUACUGGUAGAACUUAUUUUUCAUAAUUUGCGAAAAUCAUAUUUUGCUUUUCGGUAGCAGUUAAGUACCAAAUUCCGAGAUCAAUAAUGAUUAAUGGAUGCAAUGAAAGUUAAACCAAAUUGAGUGACAUACUGAAACCAAAUCAGGUGCGCUAAUUUCUUUUGGUGCAUACUGCAUACUCUUAAAACACCAGGUACUAAAAUAAACAACACCAUAAAUGUACUAAUAAAUUCCCACUUUUUUUGGCGAGCAGCCAAGCAUACGAUGGAACGAAACUGAUUCAAACAAGCUGUAGAAGGUGUCGUAACCUAUCCUAUUAACAAUAGACUUCGGCGUGCUCCAGGAAAACUGCAGCAUGUAUUAUAAGUUUGUUUACCAAACCAUUACAAUUACAACAUAUAACAUGCCAACAUCAAUGUAUCAGUAACACACCAAAAUGAGAUAACAAAACAAUUUUUUCAGCUAGAGAUUGGUGGGCAGACGUCAGAUGAAACGGAAC